GUCACAGACAUUCAGAUCAUGGCAGAACUGUCACAGAUGUUACUUUGUGAAAACACAAAGAAUAAUGUGUUUGGAGAGAUCAGUCUUCAAUUAGCUAUAUUUUCUAGGAGCCUACCUUUACUUAGCCUCACAACAUGGGCCUUAGCUUUAGCACUUAAUCUGCACAAAUACCUGGCUUAAGUGUUAUGACUGACUGGCUAUUCAACCAAACCAUACAAAUGACCAAUUCGGUAAGAAAGCAUGAACUUCAGUGUUGAACCAAAUCAACCAACCUCCUCAAUCCAAAUGAACAAUGCUAUUCUAGGAGUCUGUGCUAGAAUAAAAUCCUAAUGCAAAGGCUGUCUUAAAAUGCUGAACCCAGAAGAAUUUGGCAUAAAUAAGACAUGGAGUUAGCUGACAUGAGAUAUUACAUUUAUUCCACUGUUGACGAGGACAAAACUGGGCCGCUAUUGUCACAGGAGAGGAUAACAAAGGAAGCUGAGGAAGUCUGUUCUGGAGGCACCAUGACAAAGCACCAGACAGAAAGCAGUCACGUGUGGGGAGAUGAGCAGAGACACCACUUCUCAAGCACCUGAUUAUUCUUUCUCAGUAUUUAGAAGCAAAAAUUAUCCUUAAGAAAAACAACCGCAAACGCAACACAGGCUACACAGAUGAGAAAAUGGGGCUUGCAGAGCUCAAACCAUUACACCAUUCAGAAGCUGGCUUUGGUAUUACUUCAAGUUAUUCAAAACAGUCACCACUUGCUGAGCCUCUGAUGUCUCAUCUGUUGAAUGGAUUUCAAGAGAGAAGGCUGAAAAGGAAGGUGACUGGAAUAUUAAGAACUGUGAGAUAUUCUGAGGAAACUCUAAUUUGUAAAUUGGUAGAAAUGCCAGUAAUUUGUUGGGAAUUGAAGACCCUCUGUAUUCAAGAGCGAAGCUUGGCAGCUGUGCACUGUUGUUUUAUAAAUCAAUAUUACAUCUGAAGGUGGUGUUUGAAUGUUUGUGUCAUUGGGGUUUGUCUCCAACAUAGUCCUGUGACAAGAAAUGUUCAAACAAAACAAACACAAUCCCUUCCCUGUCCUUUAGGAUAAAGUCCAAACGUAAUUCCACAACAGGGAUAUAACAUUCAAAUCAACUACAGAACUUCUGUAAUUAUAUAAAACCCCACGACCACAGAAAUGCAAUUGAAUUGAAGACACUUUGCAAUAUUCCCCAAGAAAGGACUGUGUGGCUGUCAGAUUAACAAAAGUCAAGAGGUGGUGAGACAAUGCUCACCAUUGCAAAAAAGAGCUUUGUGCAUAAU
This 1281-nucleotide long non-coding RNA is filed under the name Homo sapiens (human). Its description in RNAcentral is "HSALNT0302723". Lineage: Eukaryota; Metazoa; Chordata; Mammalia; Primates; Hominidae. The record is from RNAcentral.